GACGAACGCUGGCGGCGUGCCUAAUACAUGCAAGUUGAGCGCUGAAGGUUGGUACUUGUACCAACUGGAUGAGCAGCGAACGGGUGGGUAACGCGUGGGGAAUCUGCCUUUGAGCGGGGGACAACAUUUGGAAACGAAUGCUAAUACCGCAUAAAAACUUUAAACACAAGUUUUAAGUUUGAAAGAUGCAAUUGCAUCACUCAAAGAUGAUCCCGCGUUGUAUUAGCUAGUUGGUGAGGUAAAGGCUCACCAAGGCGAUGAUACAUAGCCGACCUGAGAGGGUGAUCGGCCACAUUGGGACUGAGACACGGCCCAAACUCCUACGGGAGGCAGCAGUAGGGAAUCUUCGGAAAUGGACGAAAGUCUGACCGAGCAACGCCGCGUGAGUGAAGAAGGUUUUCGGAUCGUAAAACUCUGUUGGUAGAGAAGAACGUUGGUGAGAGUGGAAAGCUCAUCAAGUGACGGUAACUACCCAGAAAGGGACGGCUAACUACGUG
RNAcentral lists this ribosomal RNA (497 nucleotides) under uncultured bacterium. Its description in RNAcentral is "partial 16S ribosomal RNA". It matches the Rfam family "Bacterial small subunit ribosomal RNA", at positions 28 to 507 of the family's 1533-position model. The record is from RNAcentral.